Molecule: ribosomal RNA, 695 nt
Filed under: uncultured bacterium
Lineage: Bacteria
Description: bacterial SSU rRNA
Rfam family: Bacterial small subunit ribosomal RNA
Source: RNAcentral
AGCUUGCUAAUAAUUCUCUAGUGGCGCACGGGUGAGUAACACGUGAGUACCUGCCCCCAAGAGUGGGAUAGCCCCGGGAAACUGGGAUUAAUACCGCAUAAAGCAAUAAAGCAGCAAUGCGCUUGGGGAUGGGCUCGCGUCCUAUUAGUUAGUUGGUGAGGUAACGGCUCACCAAGGCGAUGACGGGUAGCCGGUCUGAGAGGAUGUCCGGCCACACUGGAACUGAGACACGGUCCAGACACCUACGGGUGGCAGCAGUCGAGAAUCAUUCACAAUGGGGGAAACCCUGAUGGUGCGACGCCGCGUGGGGGAUAAGGUCUUCGGAUUGUAAACCCCUGUCAUGUGGGACAUUAAAAGAUAGUACCACAAGAGGAAGAGACGGCUAACUCUGUGCCAGCAGCCGCGGUAAUACAGAGGUCUCAAGCGUUGUUCGGAAUCACUGGGCGUAAAGCGUGCGUAGGCGGUUUCGUAAGUCGUGUGUGAAAGGCGGGGGCUCAACCCCCGGACUGCACAUGAUACUGCGAGACUAGAGUAAUGGAGGGGGAAUCGGAAUUCUCGGUGUAGCAGUGAAAUGCGUAGAUAUCGAGAGGAACACUCGUGGCGAAGGCGGGUUCCUGGACAUUAACUGACGCUGAGGCACGAAGGCCAGGGGAGCGAAAGGGAUUAGAUACCCCUGUAGUCCUGGCAGUAAACGG